Molecule: small nuclear RNA, 131 nt
Filed under: Rhinolophus ferrumequinum (greater horseshoe bat)
Lineage: Eukaryota; Metazoa; Chordata; Mammalia; Chiroptera; Rhinolophidae
Description: U4 spliceosomal RNA (ENSRFEG00010020484.1)
Rfam family: U4 spliceosomal RNA
About the family: U4 small nuclear RNA (U4 snRNA) is a component of the major U2-dependent spliceosome. The structure of U4 snRNA from yeast and human has been reported.
Source: Rfam by way of RNAcentral
AGCUUUGUGCAGUGGCAGUAUUGUAGCCAAUGAGGUUUAUCCGAGGCGUGAUUAUUGCUAAUUGAAACAUAUUUAUAAUACUUAUUUCAAAAUACUUGUCUGCUAAUUCUAACAUCUGUAUCAUCUGUUGG